Myotis lucifugus (little brown bat) is the source of this 75-nucleotide non-coding RNA. The record is from Rfam. Lineage: Eukaryota; Metazoa; Chordata; Mammalia; Chiroptera; Vespertilionidae.
GGUGGUUCUCGGGUGACACACCCCAGAAUCAGGCUCCUUCCUCUCUGGUUCUUGGUGCAUCACCUGAGAAUUGCA